GCGCGAGAACUGAAGGAGCUUGCUCUUGAAGGGACAGCGGCGUAAGGGAGAGUAACAGGUAGAUACCUGCCCUCAGGUUUGGGAUAGCGUCGGGAAACUGGCAGUAAUACCAAAUAACAUCUCCGGAUCAAAGCUCCGGCGCCUGAGGAUGGAUCUGCUCACUAUUAGCUUGUUGGUGGGGUAAUGGCCUACCAAGGCGAAGACGGGUAACCGGCCUUAGAGGGUAGUCGGUCACACUGGAACUGAGACACUGUCCAGACUUCUACGGAAGGCUGCAGUCGAGAAUCU
This 288-nucleotide ribosomal RNA is filed under the name uncultured Planctomycetota bacterium. RNAcentral describes it as "uncultured planctomycete partial 16S ribosomal RNA". It matches the Rfam family "Bacterial small subunit ribosomal RNA", at positions 64 to 364 of the family's 1533-position model. The record is from RNAcentral. Lineage: Bacteria; Pseudomonadati; Planctomycetota.